UGCGUAGGUGGCGUGUUAAGUCAGUGGUGAAAGCCUGCAGCUCAACUGUAGAGGUGCCAUUGAUACUGACAUGCUUGAGUAUGGACGAGGUAGGCGGAAUUUGUGGUGUAGCGGUGAAAUGCAUAGAUACCACAAAGAACACCGAUAGCGAAGGCAGCUUACUGGACCAUAACUGACACUGAGGCACGAAAGCGUGGGGAGCGAACAGGAUUAGAUACCCUGGUAGUCC
This 229-nucleotide ribosomal RNA is filed under the name uncultured bacterium. RNAcentral's name for it is "partial 16S ribosomal RNA". It matches the Rfam family "Bacterial small subunit ribosomal RNA", at positions 568 to 796 of the family's 1533-position model. The record is from RNAcentral.